AGAUACAUAAGCUCCCUGAUGGCUACUCUGAUAAAGCAAUUGUGGAAAAGUUGAUAAAGACGGCUGGGAAGGUGCUGGCGGAAUGGAAAUUCCCGUGGUGACUAAAUGAGGGUUAGGGUUAAACAUGAUGUGAGAGAGCCCUUAACUAAACAUGUUAGUAUCAUCAGAGGGAAGGAACGACAAGUUUUUGCGGCGAGGUAUGAAAAACUAGCUCGUUUUUGUAAGGCUUGCGGCAAGAUUGGUCAUGAUUUUAAAUAAUGUGGUAUAGGCAUCCACUUAGCAAAUGAUAUGAAGUAUGGAGACUGGUUAUAUGUGGAUUUUUCAGCAAGGCCACGAUCUGAAACUCGGUCUGUACCUGGUUCUAAAGGGGCUGGCCCGGAAGGCAAACCAUCAAGUUUGGUAAAUAAUGCUAAUGGAGGAGAUGAUGACCUGAAAAGUAUUGCAUCUAGUCCACAGAGAAACGCAGGUAUGGAUUUGGAUAUGGAAGCACCAAAGUGUGGUGUACAACAGCAGGGGGAUAAGAUCAUACAUAAGCGCCCAGCCUUGGAUAUUGAGAAUGUGGUGCCAGCCGCUGGGCUAGUUCCGAUGGUACAUGCAAUUACUAAUGGCUCUAGCAAGGAUCUAGACACCUUUGCAACGUCUAGUUGAGCAGCAAAAGGGCAAAUAUGGAGAAGAAUAAGAACUGUGAUAUGCAUGGAUCGGCGGGCUCCCCUGAGGAGUGCCGUCGGGAACAAUGAAUCUUUUAUUUUGGAACAGCCGGUGGGUGGGGAACCGCCGAACAGUUCGAGAGGUUUUGGCCCUCGCAAAGGCCAAUUACCCAAAGCUUGUCUUUCUAAGUGAAACAAGGCAAGCUUCGAACAAGAUUGAAAAGCUGAAGUGGCGUUUAGGCUUGAAAGGUUUUCAUGGUGUUUGCAGUGAUGGCCAGAGUGGCGGCCUAGCUUUAUUUUGGGACAAGUCUCUUCGGGUCUCGAUUAGAGACUCAUGUUCUCGGCACAUUGAUGUGGAUGUGAUGGAUGGGAACAUUGGUUCAAGUUGGCGCGCAACUUUUUUUUAUGGAGAACCAAGGGUGGAAAACCGACAUUUGAUGUGGCAGCAUUUGUCAAGGUUAUGUGCUAGUUCAUUAGACCCAUGGUUAGUGUGUGGUAACUUUAACGAGGCACUUUGGCAACAUGAACACUUAUCAAGGACGCAACGAGCAGAAGUUCAGAUUGUGGCGUUUCGUGAUUGUCUAACGGUGUGUCAACUGGAAGAUUUGGGGUUCUCUUGCAUGCCGUAUACAUAUGAUAAUGGGCAGCAUGGUGAUCGUAAUGUACGUGUGCAUCUCGAUAGGGCAUGUGCGGAUGAGUAGUGGAGCGACAUGUUUCCAAUAAGGUCCAGGGUAGUUCAUGGGGCAACCCCUUGUUCUGAUCAUUGCCUGAUUGUUUUGCAGCUACAUCCGGUGGAUGACAAACCCUGUAGGUCUAAUUAUUCCCGCUAUGAAAUUAUGUGGGAAAGAGAACUGUCGCAAUAGGAAGUGGUCGCUAGAACAUGGGAGAUUGAGAGGCCAGCAGGAAAUCUUGGGUCGGUCUUGUACUCGCUUAAGAAUAUGAUGAGAAAGUUGCGGGAGUGGAGCAAAGAGAAGUUUGGCAAUGUAAUCUGGGACAUUGAAAAGCUUCAUGGCGAGCUUGCCGACCUACAGAUUGGUAACGCAGAUCGGGCUAUAAUAAGACAAAAGAUGAAUGAGUUAGACGAGAUAUUGUACCGUGAAUAGAUGCUUUGGCUCCAACGGUCACGAAUUACAUGGUUAAAGGAGGGCGAAAAAAUACGAGGUAUUUGCAUCGUCGUGCGGUUUGGAGAGGACGUAGAAAUCAUAUUCAGAGGUUGCGCAAAGAUGAUAGUUCAUGGUGUGAUAGCCCUUCGGAUAUGGAAUGGAUGGCACGUUCAUAUUUUAGUGAGGUGUACACAAAGGAUCCCACGCUAAAUGCGGACAGGGUCCUGGAGUGCAUUGCUCCAAAAGUUUCUGAGGAGAUGAACAAUUUCCUUUGUGCUCCUUAUUUAGAAAAGGAGGUCUCUGACGCGCUGUUUCAGUUUGGCCCACUAAAAGCACCAGGUACGGAUGGUCUUCGAGCACGAUUUUAUCAGCAUAACUGGGGCAUCUUAAAGUCUAAAAUUAUUGCGGCGGCGCUUGAGUUUUUUUGUUAGUGGAGUUAUGCCGGAUGGAGUUAAUGAUACGGCUAUCGUUUUGAUUCCAAAAGUGCCUCACCCAAAGGAGCUAAAGGAUUUCAGUCCGAUAAGCCUUUGCAACGUGGUGUAUAAAAUUGUCUCAAAUUGUAUGGUCAACAGGCUUAGGCAUCUUCUUAUGGAUCUUAUUUCGGAGAAUCAAAGUGCCUUUAUUCCAGGUCAUCUCAUAUCUGAUAAUUCUAUCAUUGCAUUUGAAUGUAUUGACUAUAUCCAAUCCCUAAAAGGUAGUACAAAUAUGUGCUGCGCCUACAAGCUUGAUCUUUUGAAACUUUACGAUCGAGUGGAUUGGAAUUUUUUGGAGAAGGCUUUAUUGAAGUGGGGCUUUUCUUCGGCUUGGAUUUCACGCAUUAUGGCGUGUUUUACUUUAGUUAAAUACUUAGUGAUGUUUAACGGGAAGUUUCUAGAGUCCUAUGCACCUACGAGAGGUCUUCGCCAAGGGGGUCCUCUUUCACCGUUUGUAUUCUUAUUUGUGGUUGAUGCAUUAUUUGCAUUAAUUAGUGAGGCCACUGUGGUAAAUGGUUUACACGGGGUUCAUAUUUGUAGAAGGGCAUGAGUAAUAUCUCACUUGCUCUUUGCGGAUGACUCGCUUUUAUUAUUUCAUGCUUCUGAGCAGCAGGCGAGCAUUGUCAAAGGUUUGUUGAACACUUAUGUAGAGGCGACGGGUCAACUUAUAAACCUAUCAAAGUGUUCCAUCCUGUUUUCUGGCAAUUGCCCUGAGCUGGUUCAUAUGUUUCAGCUACAUGCCACCAUCGUUUCUCUCAACAGUUCUCUACCAAACACGAUCAAGAGGCAGUAGAAAAUUGCAUUCCUUUCAAUUUUUUGCUAUAUAAACCAAACUUCAGUAUUUCUCUACUAUGAAAUGUCAUUAUCCUUUGCAAGAACUUCAACUCUAGCUAUAAGCUGAGAUAUGCAUGUUUUGUGUCUCAGGUCUUAAAGUGUCAACUACACAUUAGUCAUAAGCUAGCUAGCAUAGCUGGUAUGGUAACGUCCACCAUGGCUGCCUUUUUUAGAAAAGGAGGCUUGCUCGGGCCUCUACAUUAUGAUGAUGCAUGCAACCAUUUUAUUGCGCAAACAAAAAAUACAAUAAAGGAGUCAUUACUGACCUAUCUACCUCACGACCUAGUAUUAGAUAUGAUACGAACCUUCAACCACACACAUGCUACAUAUACUUCCUUCUCCAAUACCACCAUCGGUCGGUUUGUUACUUUUCACCCAAAUACCAUAUCUCAUCUCAUCCUUGUUUUAUUGGUUCCCCAAGUUUUCAUGUGCAUAAGAGGCACCGGGAAGCUCUAAAAAUCACAUUCCCAUAGUGCAUCUUCCAUCCUUCUUGGCCUUGGAUAGUGAUGUCAUCGCAAUCAGCUGGGCCCGAACUGCCAUCGAGAAGGAGCGGCCACCCUGCAAAAUUUGUCGGAUGCAAUCUGGCGGGGGCAAAGACAUCAUGCUCGGAGGUAGAUGACGAUGGGCACAAGGAGGAGAGUUUGGUCGCUGCCCGAGCCGCCUAGGACGCGAUGCGAUGGGCAGAUCUGCCUUAACUUUGGGAGAGAAUUUCACUUUCUGGCCUCUGCAACAAAUAUAGUACCAAGAUAAGCAUGAUCCUUAAAGAUUUUUUUAAUGAGUACCAAGAUAUUAUCAUGAUAAGUAUGCACAUUCAUAACAUCGGACAAGCCACUAUUAAUUUCCCUAUCUCUAAACAUGAUCUUCUACUAAAAUGUGUCUUCCAUGUUUCACGAAACAACAAAAAUCUUGCAUCCAUAUCUCGUUAAUCAGCCAAAAAUAAGUUUGUCUUUGAAACUCAUCCAACGAGGAUCGGGCAACGAGGGAUCUCAUCCAUCCUGGUAGAUGCACUGGACGACUUUACCCCAUUACAUCAAGAAUAUUUAGCCGAAAACGUCGUUGUGAAGUCCUCUUUGGCAAGAUGGCAUCAAAUAUUAGGACAUCCUUCAUAAAAAAUAGUUGACAAAAUAGUGAAUAAAGACAUUCUUCAAUUGUCUUGUAAUGAGAAUAAGGAGUCUUUUUGUGACGAUUGUCAAGAUGCCGAAGGUCAUCAACUCCCUUUUCCUAAGCUCCGCAAUGUGUCUCAUGCUCCUUUAGAUCUUCUUUUCGGUAAUGCAUGGGGUCAUGCAAGAGAUUCAUUUGGAAGAAAUAAAUACUAUAUAUGUUAUCUUUAUAGAUGAUUUUAGUAAGUUUACUUGGAUAUACCUGAUUAAACACAAAUCUAAAGUAUUUUCUUUCUUCAAAGAAUUCCAAAAACUUGUGGAGAGACACUUUGAUAAGAAAAUUAUUGCAGUCCAAAGUGACUGGGGUGGAGAGUAUGAGAAACUCAACUCUUUCUUUCAUAGUGUAGGCAUUGAUCAUGAUGUAUCAUGUCCACAUGCACUCAAAUAAAUUGUCUUGCUGACAGGAAGCAUUGGCACAUUGCUGAAAUAGGAAUUUCCUUCAUGCACAUGCAUCAAUUCCUCUUAAAUAUUGGGACCAAGCCUUUAUUGUUGCCACUUAUCUUAUCAACCGCCUACCAAGCAAAGUCAUUGGCAAUAGCACUCCUCGGAAUGUAGAACAGUAGAAGGGUGUUAUGAGGUUUAUGCACAACAUCCAAAAUAAAGAGACCCAAGCUCAGUCAUAGAAUCCUAUGGACAAUACACCUGUUAGAAUCCGAUGUAAGAAAUUGAAUAUCCAACGGCAAGCAGUGCUCCUUUCCAGAUCUGUACCUUUUUAAUUGCUUCAUCCAAUAGCCAAUAUUCGAAGCUUAUUUGUACAUUAUAUAUAGGGAUUUUGUGGUGGGUACAACUGCAACUUUUCGUUUAUUUUCUCUCGUAUAUAAAGGUGACAUACAGAUGUUAGCGCGGCCAGCGUGUAAUCGACUCGGUGACCAACAUGAUGCAACCCUAGACUCAUAUGUAGUCUUGUCAGUCACCUCCUUCGUUGGGGCCUGGUUCAGAAGAUAGACCGCCGUCGAGACAACUUUUCACUAAAAAAUAUCCGGUAAGUUCUUCUUCUUGAGUAAACUCCUCGCCAUGCCAACGACGGUUCAACCGUGCCUUCCAACACUGUUCUGCUGCAGCAUAUAAGAUGUCGUGGGGAACCAUUUUAAGACGAUCUUCUUACAGCAGUCAUUGAACUCCGCCAUGAUCUGUGCAUAGAGCUUGAACAUUCAGCUCGUGUUCCAUCUUUGUUGCAGCCUUUGGUUUCUUGAAAGCUUCAAACGCCUCAUAUUUAGUGUCACAUAGAUCACCAGGGAGUAGCAGAGUAGGGAACGGUUAUGUAUGCAAAUAAAUCACAUAGUAGUAAUAAGAACAAAAGAACACUUUGAAGCGCGUGUUGUCUCUCUCCUUUCUUCGAAGGGUAGCAGUAACCGCUAGCAAACUAGUGCCAAACCUUGCUCUAUGUCUCUCUAUCUCUCUCUCUCCCUCCCUCCCGCCCUCCUCUCUGAUUUCUGCCAUCGCCAGCUGCUCCUUCCACAGCGUUUAGAAUCCCCUUUACCCGGCAGCGUGUACAGCAGUAGGGCACAACAACAGCCAAUAGGCACUGUACCUUUCCUUCGUACGUGGUCACGGCGGCAACAGCAUGGAGUUCAUUUAUUGAUGAAUCCCCAUCUUAUAUGCUUGCCCUUCUCUUUCGUAAUUAAUGAGCCCAAAAUUAACCUGCAUAUUUAACCCUAUGCACAAGGACAGUGGAUGAUCUGUGACAAAAACUGCAAUUAGGAUGGUUAAUUGGAGGCUCACCAACAUAUAUUGAUCUUAUCUUACGCUUGUGCAUUUUAGUUCUGCAGUGGCGGGUGUAAUUUAAGGCACGACAAGGGCCCUUGGCUACAUAAUUUUGUGUGUGCGUGUUAGUAGUGAUUUCAUGUAAUCGAUCCUGAGGGUUGAGUUCCAACAAUUGUUAGGUCUAAUCUUGAGUUUGUAGUCACAAGUGCAUGUACAGGUUGUGCUAGGACGUGUAGUCCAUGGUCUUGGGCUAAGUACGUGUCUAGUUUAGAUAGUUCUAGGAGUCCUGAGUCAUGCACGGGUACUAGUCCUUGCAGGAACAGGUUAGUAGGUGUCCGAGGUUAGUUUGGCUAGUUAGAGUCCGAGUAGGACUUGUGUCAUGUUGGUCAAGGCUGCGUGCAUAUAUAUAGACGUGAAGGUAUGUGGAUUUUGGAGUACCGUGACUUGAGAAAAAAGAGAAAAUAAAGAGGGAAAAUUAAGGCACGACAAGGGCCCUUGGCUACAUAAUUUUGUGUGUGCGUGUUAGUAGUGAUUUCAUGUAAUCGAUCAUGAGGGUUGAGUUCCAACAAUUGGUAUCUAGAGCAAGGUCGAGGUGAAGCUAUACUUGCCCCGGGGAGGUGACCCGACUAGCGCCUCGGGGCGGGCUAUAUGGUCACUGGGUGGUGCAGCGACGAGGAGCGGCGGGCAAUGGUCGUUCGUGGAGCGACGGAUGAAGAGGUUCAGGAGAUCGUCGUUCGGCGAAGCGGCAAGGAGGGACAGUGGUCGGUCGUCGGCAAGGCGGUGGAAGAAAAUCGUUGAUGGGAGCGAUGGUGCCGAGGUGCGGUGCCGAGAAGCCAUCAAGGUCAUCGUCCAAGGGAAUAGGAGUCAAGGAGUCGUGCGGGUUGGGACAUCUCGGUCGUCGUGUCAGUGAGUCGUCGGCGUCGUCAUGUCCAAGUGCUCGUCUUGGUGAUGAUUCGUUGGAGUUGAAGCGGUGUGCACGGUGUUCCGUGAGUCAUAUCCAUGUCCUCGUGGAGCGUCCUGGUUGCGGCCAGUAUGGAUUCGGUGUGAUGCCGAAGGUGGACGAUGGUAGGCGAAGCCAUCGUAAAGCGAGGAGGUGUGCGAGUAGUGGAGAGUGGAUCUACUACAAGCAAGUACAAAGAGUAUGGUGCGGACCGAGUGCAAGGCAGCGGCCAAGCAAUGGCGGUGGCACAACAUUGUAGAGCAAGGAGGUUCUACUUGUUUCCAGACGGGUCAUACUCAAUGUACGGAUACGACGGUUUAGUCGAUGUGUCGACAAGUCACGAGUCAACAACGAGUCAAGACAAGACGGAACACUAAGAAGAUGGCAUGUCAAGAUUAGGAAGAGAUUGUUAGGUAUAAUCUUGAGUUUGUAGUCACUAGUGCAUGUACAGGUUGUGCUAGGACGUGUAGUCCAUGGUCUUGGGCUAAGUACGUGUCUAGUUUAGAUAGUUCUAGGAGUCCUGAGUCAUGUACGGGUACUAGUCCUUGCAGGAACAGGUUAGUAGGUGUCCGAGGUUAGUUUGGCUAGUUAGAGUCCGAGUAGGACUUGUGUCAUGUUGGUCAAGGCUGCGUGCAUAUAUAUAGACGUGAAGGUAUGUGGAUUUUGGAGUACCGUGACUUGAGAAAAAAGAGAAAAUAAAGAGGGAAAAUUAAGGCACGACAAGGGCCCUUGGCUACAUAAUUUUGUGUGUGCGUGUUAGUAGUGAUUUCAUGUAAUCGAUCAUGAGGGUUGAGUUCCAACAAUUGGUAUCUAGAGCAAGGUCGAGGUGAAGCUAUGCUUGCCCCGGGGAGGUGACCCGACUAGCGCCUCGGGGCGGGCUAUAUGGUCACUGGGUGGUGCAGCGACGAGGAGCGGCGGGCAAUGGUCGUUCGUGGAGCGACGGAUGAAGAGGUUCAGGAGAUCGUCGUUCGGCGAAGCGGCAAGGAGGGACAGUGGUCGGUCGUCGGCAAGGCGGUGGAAGAAAAUCGUUGAUGGGAGCGAUGGUGCCGAGGUGCGGUGCCGAGAAGCCAUCAAGGUCAUCGUCCAAGGGAAUAGGAGUCAAGGAGUCGUGCGGGUUGGGACAUCUCGGUCGUCGUGUCAGUGAGUCGUCGGCGUCGUCAUGUCCAAGUGCUCGUCUUGGUGAUGAUUCGUUGGAGUUGAAGCGGUGUGCACGGUGUUCCGUGAGUCAUAUCCAUGUCCUCGUGGAGCGUCCUGGUUGCGGCCAGUAUGGAUUCGGUGUGAUGCCGAAGGUGGACGAUGGUAGGCGAAGCCAUCGUAAAGCGAGGAGGUGUGCGAGUAGUGGAGAGUGGAUCUACUACAAGCAAGUACAAAGAGUAUGGUGCGGACCGAGUGCAAGGCAGCGGCCAAGCAAUGGCGGUGGCACAACAUUGUAGAGCAAGGAGGUUCUACUUGUUUCCAGACGGGUCAUACUCAAUGUACGGAUACGACGGUUUAGUCGAUGUGUCGACAAGUCACGAGUCAACAACGAGUCAAGACAAGACGGAACACUAAGAAGAUGGCAUGUCAAGAUUAGGAAGAGAUUGUUAGGUAUAAUCUUGAGUUUGUAGUCACUAGUGCAUGUACAGGUUGUGCUAGGACGUGUAGUCCAUGGUCUUGGGCUAAGUACGUGUCUAGUUUAGAUAGUUCUAGGAGUCCUGAGUCAUGUACGGGUACUAGUCCUUGCAGGAACAGGUUAGUAGGUGUCCGAGGUUAGUUUGGCUAGUUAGAGUCCGAGUAGGACUUGUGUCAUGUUGGUCAAGGCUGCGUGCAUAUAUAUAGACGUGAAGGUAUGUGGAUUUUGGAGUACCGUGACUUGAGAAAAAAGAGAAAAUAAAGAGGGAAAAUUAAGGCACGACAAGGGCCCUUGGCUACAUAAUUUUGUGUGUGCGUGUUAGUAGUGAUUUCAUGUAAUCGAUCCUGAGGGUUGAGUUCCAACAGUAAUGCUUAAACCUUUUAAAUAAUAGAGCUUCCCAUUUUAGAAAAUAUGGCAACGGAAAAAAUGCACUAUACAAAAUAGUGUCGACCCUUAAAAUAUGUUCCUAACAUUUUUAGAAAGACAAUUCUCUACAUAGUAUAGCGUGCUAUUAAUGACGCUAUAGCAUUGCUAUUUUUGCCCUAGUUAUAUAUAUGAUGGUAAGUAUGAGGAACUUAGUUAGAGUUAUGUAUAGACAGAUACUUAUUCAUAUAGCAGUAGCACAUGGACAGAGUUGUAGCUACCGCAAGAGGCUUACCAUCAUAUGUGCAAUAAAGGAGUAGUAGUGUUAUUAAUUCAUAUAUCUACCUCACAGACUAGUUAUGAGAAAGGACACAAACCCUUGGCUACAGAUAUAUCAUAUAUAUACCUCCUCCUUCUGCCAGCAGCGAUAGGUUCGCUCGCACACAUUCAUAGUUUUCACUGAGAUAUGAUGCUUUUAUCUUAUCCCAGUUUUUUUUUGCCUCCCAAUUAAUUAAGAUAGGCAUUGAAGGUUUCUGGAAGUCUCCGAAAACGGUAGACUGAUGGCGCAGUAUCCAUCUCUCUAGCCUACAUCGUAAUACGGCGCAAUAUACUGCUUAGCGGCCACUACACUCUGUAUUUUUUGGUAAUCAUGAGCCAUCAUGGUGUGUCGUCAUCAGCAAAGCUAAUUAGCCUAUCUUGUGCUAGCGACAAUAAACGUAACCAAAUUUUUAAUUUCGAGAAAGCAUAAAUACAUGCAUACAAGAUUAUUGCUCUAGGACUGAGAAAUCGAGCAUCUUAUAUAUCUUUGCAGGUUUUGCUCGUCCAUAGAUACAAUAUCUUCAAUUUGAUUUUGGUUGUCUGUCAAUUUGAACCAAAUCAUUGGACCAUUAACCUGAAUUUUGUACGUCGUCUAUUUUAUUAUGUGGACAUGGACCGUGGGUAGAUGAUGAUUAAUGGCGAUGGCAGUCAGGAACAGGAACUAGAGGGUCACAACAUAGCUCCCUUUUAUGUUAAUUGUGCCCUUGUGGUGGUAAUUGGGAACACCUUAGCUAGAGAGUCUCUCAGAGUGAGAAAUACUAAGUACAUAUAGCAGUAGCAGGUAGAUAGAGUUAUACCAUUCCAAUAAAUCAUAACUAAUUAUAUGAUUGACGCACAAACAAAAUUACUUGUUAUAAAAAAAUACAUGUGGUUGAGCAACCAAAGAGUCAAGGCCACAUAGACGCUUGAACAAUUCAGGAUCUCAUAUGUCAACUAUACGUUGAUUUCAACAAAUAUGUCAUGAUUGAUAAAUAUAAGAGUCUUGCACCACAUCAUGCAUUAAAAAUAGUUAUUCAUUACCAAAUGUUAUGACCCGUUGCAAGAACUUGAACUCUAUGCACUUAAAUGACCAUAUAUAGAUCCCAUUGUUUCACCUUAACUAUAAAGAGUUUCUACUAACUUAAAUGAGCCAGUCUGUGUCUAGCUAUCUAACAUCGGCAAUCAUUACCUAGUUUAUCCAUCUCACUUUUGCGUAUUCUUAGCAUGCCUAUCUACCAUAAAUAGUAGCACUACUAAAAAAAGGCUAUAGCUAAUAUAUAUGGACAUUAAUGACCCAUCAUGUAUGUGGUGCGUCACUGCUAUAUAGCAGUGGCGCACCAGAGACUGGUGCGUCAUUAGUGUUCAUAUUACUAAUGGCGCACCUUGUGUGUGGUGCGCCAUUACUAUCUUUGUUCUGGCCCCACACCCUUUCCUAGACAUAUCAGUGACGCACCAGGGAAAGUACGCCAUUACUAGUUUUAACUAGUAAUGGCGCACCACAUCCACGGUGCGUCAGAACUAACGAUUGUUUUUUCAGUUUUUUUUUUCAAAAUUACUAAUGGCGCAUUGUUACGAGGUGCGUCAUUGGUAACCUGGUUAUCAAUGACGCAUUCUUAGGUGGGUCGCCAUUGAUAAUCAGAAGUGAAAAAAAAAACUCCCGCUCCAAUCCAGCGAAACUCCCGCUCUCGCGCACCGUCCACCUCCCCCACUGCACCUGCCGUCGCCGGCUGAACCCCCUGCUCCCCCCUCGCCGCUGCGCCACCUCCGCCUCGCACCGCGCCCUCCCCGCUCCCUGCCUCUCCCCACCGCCGCCAGGAACCCCCGAUGAUGGGCGACGACAAGAGCGCCGCCGCCUCCCCCUCCGCCUCCGCCGCGCUCCCCUCCUUCGGCCUCGAGGUUCGCCCAGAGGUUCGCCCCCCUCCCUCCGCCGUAUAGAACCCUCUCAAAACUUAGCGGACAGUGUUCAGUGGUUAGUACAAAUGGAGACGGAUCGAGGUCAGUGGUUUUUGAAUCAUUUUGUGUAUGUGGUUCUGCCAUGUAGUUGAAACGUGAAGUUUUGAGAGGAACAGGCUGGCAAUAUUCGUACAACCAUAGUGCAAAGUUGUAAAUUAUACUUAGGAACUAAUUUUUUUACAAAAAUGGUUCGAAAGAUAAUAUUUCAUAAGAUCGUGAUUGAUUAUGGGCAACAACACAUGUUUCCCAUAAGUUACGAGCGCCAACCCACGCUGAUAAAUGUGCCCUUGACGAGGUCUAACUAUUACCACCAUCUGCAACGGUAGGAUUUUGCCAUCUAAUUAUUUAGGAUUAUGUCCAAAUGAAGAGAGAAACGGUAGAGCUAAUGCACAUGUCAAGGUCAAGGUCAUAUGUCAGACCAGUAACAAUGUCAAGGUCGUAUAUCUAUAUCUCUGUUUGUUGAUUUGAUCCAUGCACAAGUCAAUAAUCAGAUCAAUAAUAAUGUGAAAGUUCUCUGUUUCUGUCGGUUGAUUCAACCUAUACAUGCACAUAUAAAUGACAGAGCUGUUCAAAAGCUACAACGACAUUUGAAACUUUUCAACCUAUACAUGCACAUGUAAAUGACAGAGCUCUUCAAAAGCUACAGCGACAUUCGAAACUUUGAUACAUAUACAUCUGCCCAAGCUUUUGUACUAGGAACAGAAGGGAGACAAUUAUUCCCUCGUAAUGAAUGGUGAACAGCUGAGGUUCUAUCAGGGAGAUGAUGCAUGACGCCUAGGGAUGUGAUUGGGUUGAAAAGGAAUCAUGUCUUUCCAUCUCACCUUCAUCUAUCUAGGUUUAAUGUAAUCUAAUACAAGGGGCUCCCAAUCAACUCUGGUUUUGUUAUCUUGUGGCUUUUGAGCUAGCAGUAGUACUAGUGCUGCUAGGGAUGAAAAAGAUAAGAUGAUAGUGACAGGGGAAUCGGGUGUAUAGGGAAUCGGCAGAAAGGGUGACAAGAGAUGUAUAGAUAUGAUGUGUCUGUUGGCCAUAAAGGUCAGGUAUCAUUGCAAUGAAAAAAAUGUGACCAAGUGCCGUUUGUGUGGUUUAUUCCUGAAAGAAUGCAAAGUUCAAAACAUGCAGAGGUCAUUGUGUAAUCUUUGUGUAAGCAGCCGAGCAACCAUUGUCCAUGUUGCUUCUCGUCCUAAACUGUGAUUGCUCAUGGUGGACGGCUCAUGAUGCAUUACCUAGCUAGGUGAAAGAUGCAGAAAUGGGCCUGAAAAAAAUGUGUUGUUGUCCCGACUAAUACUAGUACAUAUUUCGAGCAAAUGAUCAAUUUCAUAUCAGGCAUCAAACGGUCCUAAUUAAUAUAAUCAACACCAAACGGUCCUUAAUCAACACCACCCCACUCCCUAAUAAACACCAAAUGGUCCUAGUUAAUUAAUAUAAUCUGAAGCAUCAUUCAUCUUACUUUUGCCACGAACCAUGAACCAUUGUACCGAGAGAGGUAUCAUUCAUCUUACUUUGUGCAUUGCUUGACUUGCCAUGAACCAUGGUAUCGAGAGAGGUGUCAUUCAUCUUACUUUUACAUUUUACAUGCUAAUAUUACUAUUGUGCCAUGGUACCGAGAGAGAUAUCAUUCAUCUUAUUUUUACUUGCCAUGAACCAUGUUACCAAGAGAGGUAUACCUGUAAUAUAUUGCACCGAAAGAGUGCUCUUCAUGUUUGGUAGCUUUGCUUGUUUUGCCGGAAUGUUGAUUCAUUUCCAUUCCGGCAAAUUUCAGGCGCUUCAUAUGUUCAUUUUUUUAGUAAAUGUCAUGCCCAAAUUUUCUUUGUUUUAGGAAUUGUCGUCUGACGACGAAUACGUUAUGUGCGAAUACUGCCAAGACAAGCGCGGCCUUUGCGACAAGCCUUUCCUAGUUGAUGAUAGGCGUUUCAGCAUCAUGCUGGAUGAGGACUUCGAAGUGGAUACAGUAAGUCACAACGACAAGUCUUUUUUGGUAAUUAAGCAUGACUUCUUUUGCUUCAACUUAUAAUUUUUAUUUUUUACUAUUCUACUAGCGUAUCCCCUGCCAUGCAAGACAUUAUGUGUUGGCUAAGAUUGGUUUCGGUACUGAAGAAGCUAUGGAGGUAAAGAUAGUUCACUUGAGGACCGAGCAUGGUUAUACUUUUGCCGUAAAAUUGUACAAUGCAGACACCUACUCCGUUUUUGAAUGCAAAACUUGGGUAGCACUAUGCAAGGCUUAUGCAUUUGAGCCUAAUAUGGUUAUCACCUUUGAUAUUCGUACGGAAGAUGAAAUUGAAGGUAAUAUCGACAUUUGGUUCGAUGGGCAGACGCCUCCAGUUCUAUCAUUAUGUGAGUUUCUCAACCAUAUUUAUUAAGUAAUUUAUAUUGUUUAUUUAAAAAUAGUUGACAACUUAUUUCCAUUGACAAUUUAUUUUCAUUCUUCAAAAAAUGUAUGGAAAAUGGUAGACAAAACCUAUUACUACAAUUAUGAAGCAGAAUUAUCUUGUCAGGAGAUACAUCAUCUUGUCCAAUUUAUCAUUGAUCUUGAGAAUUACAAUACCAAUCAGCAAACUUUCCAACAUUAUGGUCAAUAUGUGCCACUAGUGCACGUGGUGAACUACAGUAACAUGCAUGGAGAUUGCAUGGUAAGAUUUUCUACUAUUAUGACAUACAUGCAUCUUUUGCAUAAAUUCUUGUAAAACUAAACUACAUUGCUAGCUACAAAGCUAAUACUAUGUUUUUCAACAGAAAAUCCCGGAAGAUUGUGUGCCUCAUCUGAUGUUACCAAGAGGUCGCGUUGAUGUUAUGAUCAUACGACCAGCACGGCCAGGUCAGCCUAGGUAUCUGAUGUACUCCUGUCCAUACCGGAUUUCUAAAACCGAUGAAGUCAUGACAAUCAAAGAUUGGAAAAAAUGUAUGGUCUAUCCUAGAGAGCUACUUGGAAGCAACAUUGUGCGUAGGCCAAGAAUUGGAGACAAGAUGAUCUCCAUUCUCCAUAAUGAAGAGUCAGGGCCUAUCUUGUUUUUUGAUAUUCUACCUAAGCGGAGGAGUAGGUCCUAGGUUCAAUGUGUUAUUAUGUGCUACAGUGUGAUGAUGUGCUACAAUGUGUUAAUGUGAUGAUGUGCUACAAUGUAUUAAAUAGUAUUGGUGGUAAUGACUAUGAUGAUUAUUAGCUAUUUCCGAGAUGAUGUGAUGAUGUGCUACAAUGUGUUAGAGUUGACGAUGAUGAUGAUGAUGAUGUGCUACAAUGUAUUUUGUAACCUGUGCACCAUCUAAAAGUGCACAGGUUACAAUGAUGAUGAUGAUGUGCUACAAUGUGCUAAAAAAAUCCUAAUAUUCAUAGUAGUGGCCCACCAUCUAAAGUGCGCCAUUAGUAAACCCACAGUAGUGAAGCACUUCUGGGCCUAAUAAUGACGGACCAGGUGGUGCGCCACUGUUAUGUAUAUUAACAGUGGCGCACGAGGGGUGCGCCAUUACUAUUUAUUAGUAGUGGCGUGAUAAUAGUGGCGCACCUAUAGUGCGCCAUUAAUAGGAAAAAUAGAUGCACAACUAAUAGCCUUUUUUCUAGUAGUGUAGUAAUGGGUACAAACUAUAAGUUAGCUCCAUAUAAUGACACUUCUGUUGGAAUUAACCACGAUCAAGUAGUCCUGUCAGGAUCGGACUAGGAGCAGUCACCGAAUACGUAUAGGUGUAGGUCAGUUUUGCUCCUAGAUAUACUUGCACUAGUGGGGACGGGGCCUUUAGCCCGGGCCCGUAAGGGGCUUUAGUCCCGGUUCACCAACCGGGACUAAAGGGGCGGGACUAAAGGCCUAACCUUUCGUCUCGGCCCUCUUACAAGCCGGGACUAAAGGUGCUUCACGUGGGCGCCUCGUAGCGCCCCAGGGCCAGGCCCUUUAGUCCCGGUUCGUUACACGAACCGGGACUAAAGAUUUUCAGAUUUUGCUGGUUUUUGGGUUUUUUUUUUGAAUGAAAUUAUUUUUGGGUUUUAGGGUUUUAGGGUUUAGGUGUUCGGGAAUUAGUUUUCAUAUAAAUUAAAUAGAAAUAAUUAUGCAUAUAUAUAUAUAAGAUUAACUNNNNNNNNNNNNNNNNNNNNNNNNNNNNNNNNNNNNNNNNNNNNNNNNNNNNNNNNNNNNNNNNNNNNNNNNNNNNNNNNNNNNNNNNNNNNNNNNNNNNAUAUAAUAAUAACUAAUUUAUUAUUGCCUCUAGGGCAUAUUUCCAACAGUCUCCCACUUGCACUAGAGUCAAUAAUCUAGUUCACAUCACCAUGUGAUUCCAACGAAUCCAACACCCAUAUAGUUAUGGGGUCUGAUCACGUCUUGCUCAUGAGAGAGGUUUUAGUCAACAGUUCUGAAAAUUUCAGAUCCGUGUGUUCUUUACAAAUCUUUAUGUCAUCUUAUAGAUGCUGCUACUAUGUGCUAUUCGGAAAUACUCCAAAUAUCUACUCUACUAUACGAAUCCGUUUCACUACUCAUAGUUNNNNNNNNNNGUGAGAGAGGUUUUAGUCAACGGUUCUGAAACUUUCAGAUUCGUGCGUUCUUUACAAAUCUUUAUGUCAUCUUAUAGAUGCUGCUACUACGUGUUAUUCAGAAAUGCUCCAAAUAUCUACUCUACUAUACGAAUCCGUUUCACUACUCAUAGUUAUUCGGAUUAGUGUCAAAGCUUGCAUCGACGUAACCCUUUACGACGAACUCUUUAACCACCUCCAUAAUCGAGAAAAAUUCCUUAGUCCAUCAGUUACUAAGGAUAAAUUUUGACCGCUGCUAGUGAUUCAAUCAUGGAUCACUCUCUGUACCUCUCAACAGACUUGCUGCAAGGCACACAUCAGGUGCGGUACUCAGCAUGGCAUACUUUAGAGUCUAUGGCUAAGGCAUAGAAGACGACCUUNNNNNNNNNNAUGUACCUCUCAACAAACUUUGAGUCAAGGCACACAUCAGGUGCGGUACCCAGCAUGGCAUACUUCAGAUUCUACGGCCAAGGCAUAGAAGACGACCUUCGUCUAUUCUCUUUAUUCUGCCGGGGUCGGGUUUUGAGUCUUACUCAAAUUCACACCUCACAACGCAACCAAGAACUCCUUCUUUGCUGAUCUAUUUUGAACUCCUUCAAAGACUUGUCAAGGCAUGGAUCUUGUUGAAACUUCCGCUAAGCACUUUCGAUCUAUCUCCAUAGAUCUUUGAUGCUCAACGUUCAAGUAGCGCAAUCCAGGUACUCCUUUGAAAACUCCUUUCAAACAACCUUGUAUGCUUUACAGAAAUUCUACAUUACUUCUGCUCCACAAUAUGUCAACCACAUAUACUUAUAAGAAAUUCUAUAGUGCUCCCACUCACUUCUUUGGAAAUACAAGUUUCUCAUAAACCUUGUACAAACCCAAAAUCUUUGAUCAUCUCAUCAAAGUGUAUAUUCCAACUCCGAGAUGCUUGCACCAGUCCAUUGAAGGAUCGCUGGAGCUUGCAUACUUGCUAGUAUCUUUAGGAUCAACAAAACCUCCUGGUUAUAUCACAUACAAUGUUUGCUCAAGGAAACCGUCGAGGAAACAAUGUUUUGACAUCCUAUGUGCAAUAUUUCAUAAAUAAUGCAUCAACUACUAACAUAAUUCUAACAGACUUUUAGCAUCGCUACGAGUGAGAAAGUCUCAUCACUACAAGAAACCUGUUAAUCCAUGACGGAUUUAUGGUGACGUUUUAGAAAACCGUCAUGAAAACUGUUACAAUUGAGCAACGUGCGAACGGGCGCAAAACGUUACUCCCUUUAUGACAGAAAUGGAGGUACCGUCAUGAACGUCGUCAUGGAUCUACUAGCUGGGCCUAGUCGGACUGUCACCGACGUUCCUUGCUGAUGUGUAGUGCGUCCUUAUAUCCUCCAUGCUGCCAAAGGUGCUUUCUGAUUGGUUGAUAUGACCCUCUCGCGGAUCACGCACAAGCACCGUCCAUCCCUCCUAGAUCCAACGGUAGGCACACUCUCCCCUCUCUUUGUUCUCUCUUCCUCCACCCGUGAUCCUCCCCUGAGCCGCCUACUGUUCGAUCCCAAAACUAAUCCCCCAAUUUCGGACCGAGGCACCAUAGAUCUCAGCUCCUUCCCCACGCGCCUCUCACCAGAUCCAUGCCGACAUGCCCAUCCUCUCCUCCCCGUCCAUCUGCUCGUGGAUCUUGUCGCCGGGGUAUCCUUCCCGGAUCUGUUCGCAAGUCCCCAGCCUCAACCAGGGACGCCAACCACCACCACCACCCCUCUCACGUCGUCGUCCCUCGCCGGUCACGCCGUGGUAGGGACUGCUGCUUCCCCUCCGUCGCACACUCAUAGAGGCGACAAGGAAGCGAAUUGCCCUCCUCGAGGGCUGGACGGUGCUGCCACUGUGCAAUGUACGGCUGCAGGCGUUCACCUCCUAGUCCAUCGUCUGCGACGCACCUUAUUCUCCAUCAAGGUUAGCUACCCGCUCGACCCUGUUCCCCGGCUCUCCCUGCAGUUCAUGAAUUCGGGAUGUUGUCUUUGGGUUCUGACUGUGUUGUUGACUGGUCUGAUUGAUUAACUUCUUGUCUUCAAUCGCUGAUGCAGUGCACAACUACUUGCUGCUGAACCUUGUUAGUGUGUUCUAAGGGACGGAGACGGGGAGAGAUGUAGUUGUACAACUACUUGCUGCUGAACCUUGUUAGUGUGUUCGUCCAAUUGAUUAACUUUAGGGCACACCUCAAUUGGAACUCCACACUGCACUAUAGCAAUAUUGUUUUGGAAUGCCCCAUUUAUGGUGAUGACUGAAUGCGUAUUUGGAUAUAGUUAAAUUAUAGUUUGAUCUGGUUCGUUCUGCUGUCUUGGGAUCUAUAACGCAGAGGCGUAUCUCAGGUGUUNNNNNNNNNNNNNNNNNNNNNNNNNNNNNNNNNNNNNNNNNNNNNNNNNNNNNNNNNNNNNNNNNNNNNNNNNNNNNNNNNNNNNNNNNNNNNNNNNNNNACAGCGCGACGCGGCACCGAGACGAACUGCCGCGGGCCUCUAUGGCAGAGAGAGGGGGGCUCUGGAUCUGCCGUGGCGGAGCUGGAUCCAGCGACGAGGGACGUGCCGUCGCCGGCGGCGAUCGAUUCCGGCGAGAUCGAGCGAUCGUUUUUUCUCUUCUCCCCCCGUGCGGUGUGGUGGUGUGUGUCAGCGACCGAUGAUGCUUUUUUUUCUUCUCUCCAACCGAUGAUCGUUCGUGGAGAUCUGGUGUGCCAUGCCACGCAUACGCCAUUCUUUCACUUUGCCCCCCGGUGCUAACCGUCCCUCGCAAACGGGUCCCUGAAUAAUACCUUAGGGGCUAUUAUGUUCUUCCACUUUGGCCCCUGUUACUAACCGUCCUUCGAGAACGGGUCCCUGAAUGAUACAUUAGGGGCUAUUCUGUCAAAAGUGGAUAAACUACCNNNNNNNNNNCUUCUUGUCUCCAACCGAUGAUCGUUCGUGGAGAUCUGGUGUGCCAUGCCACGCAUACGUCCUUCUUCCACUUUGCCCCCGGUACUAACCGUCCCUCGCAAACGGGUCCCUGAAUAAUACCUUAGGGGCUAUNNNNNNNNNNGAGUACUUAUAGUCACACUGCAACCAACUUAGUAAUUACAAAUUAGUCGAUUUCCUCGCGUUUCUCGAGGUGUCGUAGUGGAGGUUGCUCCAUGCUCAGCAUCGUUUGGGUGCACGACACGAAAUUGAUCGGUACUGCUCUCUCGGUCGGUCCAGGUGCAUAGAGCGAUUAAGGAGUCGCGGCGUGACCAAGACACAGUAUGACAUGUCAGCGUUAAGUUUAAUAUAUUGGAAGCUAUAUGAGAGGGUCAAAAGAGGCAAUGGGCNNNNNNNNNNNNNNNNNNNNNNNNNNNNNNNNNNNNNNNNNNNNNNNNNNNNNNNNNNNNNNNNNNNNNNNNNNNNNNNNNNNNNNNNNNNNNNNNNNNNACAGAAACAAGAGUUCAAUGUAGGUGAUUAUGUCUUGCUAUACAAUUCUUGUUUGAGAUUCUUUGCAGGCAAGCUUCUCUCUAAAUGGGAAGGUCCCUAUGUUGUUGAGGAAGUAUAUUGUUCCGAUGCCAUCAAAAUCAAUAACACGAAAGGAAAUUUUCCUAGAGUGGUAAAUGGGCAAAGAAUCAAGCAUUACAUCUCUGGUACUCCCAUACAUGUUGAUACCAAUAUCAUCAAUGUCAUAACUCCAGAGGAGUACAUAAGGGAUGUUUAUCAGCCUGUUUCAGACCUUGAAAAUGAAGAUGUAUCUGUUUGAGUAAGAAAUUGGACUCCGAUGCUUUUCCAAUAGGAAAUUUCCUCCGUUUUGGAAUUUUUGGAAAAUUAGAAAAAUAAAAAGCAGUCCGGAGAGCGAACGAGGCGGCCACAAGCCCUGCCACCGCCCCUACCCCCCUGGUGGCGGAGGGCAAGCUUGUGGGCACCUCGUGUGCCUCCCGGACUCCGUUUGCUUGCAGAGGACUCCUUCUGGCCCAAAAAAAAUCAAUAUAUAGUCGCCCGAAGGUUUUGAUCUCCGUAUCGCGUAGUUUUCCUGUGUUUUCGUUUCGAGCCUAUUUCUGUGACAGAUCUAGAUCAUCAUGACUUCCCCAAACGCCCCUAAGGACAAGAUCUUCGAGAAAGUCAUCAAUCCCUACCUCACGGAAGUGCUGAAACACCCUCAAUCUAUCAAGAUGAGCGAGGGGAUGUUGCACAUCCGUGAUGUUGAGGGGCCUAAGAAGACCGGAAGCAUGGAAACGAGGCUCGAAGCAAUGGAGCAACAAGUCUUCAAGUGCUAAGGGAUGGUGGAGAGUGGACUCAACGCCAACCACACAAUGAUCAGGGAGUUCACUAGCAAUCACAAGAUGGAUGCCAUUGAUAUUGNNNNNNNNNNNNNNNNNNNNNNNNNNNNNNNNNNNNNNNNNNNNNNNNNNNNNNNNNNNNNNNNNNNNNNNNNNNNNNNNNNNNNNNNNNNNNNNNNNNNNNNNNNNNNNNNNNNNNNUGAUCAACUGCAGGGCCAGAUCUAUGACCAGCAGAACCAAAACUAUGAGUAUGAGUACAUAUUUAAAUCAAUAAGGUUGGCUGCAGAUUUGAGGAUUCCGGCGACUCGUUCAUCCUGCCAUGAUGGAGCACCUAUGCCUUGGAAGACGGAGGAUCAGACUACUCCAACAACUCCACCACCAUCACCACCAAAGGAAGACAACUAAGCAUUGGUAUGGGCAAUCCCCUUGGCUUCUGCCAAGCUUGGGGGAGUUGCCCUGGUAUNNNNNNNNNNNNNNNNNNNNNNNNNNNNNNNNNNNNNNNNNNNNNNNNNNNNNNNNNNNNNNNNNNNNNNNNNNNNNNNNNNNNNNNNNNNNNNNNNNNNCUAGAUCGUGGGACUGAUCGCGGGACGGUUCGCGGGGCGGAUCGAGGGGCGUGAGGACGUUCCACUACAUCAACCGCGUUCACUAAUGCUUCUGCUGUACGGUCUACAAGGGUACGUAGAUCACACAUCCCCUCUCGUAGAUGGACAUCACCAUGAUAGGUCUUCGUGCGCGUNNNNNNNNNNUCUGUACGAUCUACAAGGGUACGUAGAUCACUCAUCCCCUCUCGUAGAUGGACAUCACCAUGAUAGGUCUUCGUGCGCGUAGGAAAAAUUUUGUUUCCCAUGCGACGUUCCCCGACAGUGGUAUCAGAGCCAGGUUCAUGCGUAGAUGUCUUCUCGAGUAGAACACAAAAGUUUUUGUGGGCGGCGAUGCGCGUUUUGCUGCCCACCUUAGUCUUUUCUUGAUUCCGCGGUAUUGUUGGAUUGAAGCGGCUUGGACCGACAUUACUCGUACGCUUACGAGAGACUGGUUUCAUCGCUACGAGUAACCCCGUUGCUCAAAGAUGACUGGCAAGUGUCAGUUUCUCCAACUUUAGUCGAAUCGGAUUUGACCGAGGAGGUCCUUGUAUAAGGUUAAAUAGCAAUUNNNNNNNNNNUAUCUCCGUUGUGGUGUUUGCGUAAGUAAGAUUCGAUCCUACUAGAUACCCAUGGUCACCACGUAAAACAUGCAACAAUAAAAUUAGAGGACGUCUAACUUGUUUUUGCAGGGUAUGCUUGCGAUGUGAUAUAUUGGAUGUAUGAAAUGAUCAUGUUGUAAUAGAUAAUAUCGACUUGCACGUCAAUGGUACGGCAACCGGCAGGAGCCAUAGGGUUGUCUUUAAACUAACGUUUGUGCUUGCAGAUGCGUUUACUAUUUUGCUAGGAUGUAGCUUUAGUAGUAAUAGCAUGAGUAGCACGACAACCCCGAUGGCGACACGUUGAUGGAGAUCAUGAUGAUGGAGAUCAUGGUGUGACGCCGGUGACAAGAAGAUCGUGCCGGUGCUUUGGUGAUGGAGAUCAAGAAGCACGUGAUGAUGGCCAUAUCAUGUCACUUAUGAAUUGCAUGUGAUGUUAAUCCUUUUUUGCACCUUAUGUUGCUUAGAACGACGGUAGCAUUAUGAGGUGAUCUCUCACUAAAAUUUCAAGAUGAAAUUGUGUUCUCCCCGACUGUGCACCGUUGCGACAGUUCUUCGUUUCGAGACACCACGUGAUGAUCUGGUGUGAUAGACUCAACGUUCACAUACAACGGGUGCAAAACAGUUGCACACGCGGAACACUCGGGUUAAGCUUGACGAGCCUAGCAUGUGCAGACAUGGCCUCGGAACACAUGAGACCGAAAGGUCGAGCAUGAAUUGUAUAGUUGAUUUGAUUAGCAUAGAGAUGCUUACCACUGAAACUAUUCUCAACUCACGUGAUGAUCGGACUUGAGAUAGUGGAUUUGGAUCAUGUACCACUCAAAUGACUAGAGAGAUGUACUUUUUGAGUGGGAGUUCUUAAGUAAUAUGAUUAAUUGAAGUAAUUUUCAUGAACAUAGUCUAAUGGUCUUUUCGAAUUACGAUGUAGCUUGCACUAUAGCUCUACUGUUUUUAUAUGUUCCUAGAGAAAAUUUAGUUGAAAGUUGAUAGUAGCAAACUUUGCAGAGGAUUGUCCUCGUUGCUGCGCAGAAGGCUUAUGUCCUUAAUGCACCACUCGGUGUGCUGCACCUCGAGCGUCGUCUGUGGAUGCUGUGAACAUCGGACAUACACGUUUCUGAUGACUACACGAUAGUUCAGUGCAAAAUACUUAAUGGCUUAGAAGCAAGGCGCCGAAGACAUUUUGAAACAUCACGGAACAUAAGUGAUAUUCUAAAGAGAUGAAAUUGUGAUUUCAUGCUUGUGCCCUUGUUCAGAGGUACGAGACCUCCGACAAGAUUCUUUGUCCAUAGAGUAAAGGAGAAAAGCUCAAUCGUUGAGCGUGCGCUCAGAUUGUCUGAGUACGACAAUUGCUUGAAUCAAGUGGGAGUUAAUCUUCCAGAUGAGAUAGUGAUGGUUCUCCAAAGUCACUGCCACCAAGCUGUGAGAGCUUCGUGAUGAACUAUAACAUAUCAAGGAUGGAUACAAUGAUCCUUGAGCGAUUCGCGAUGUUUGACACUGCGAAAGUAGAAAUCAAGAAGGAGCAUCAAUAGUUGAUGGUUUGUAAAACCACUAAGUUUCAAGAAAGGCAAGGGCUAGAAGGGAUACUUCGUGAAACGGCAAAACAGUUGUGCACUAAUGAAGAGACCCAAGAUUAAACCCAAACCCGAGACUAAGUGCUUCUGUAAUGAGGGGAACAGUCACUGAGGCGGAGCAACUCUAGAUACUUGGUAGACAAGAAGGCUGGCAAAAGUCGAAAGAAGUAUAUUUGAUAUACAUGAUGUUGAUGUGUACUUUACUAGUACUCCUAGUAGCAUGAGGGUAUUGGAUACCGGUUCGGUUGCUAAGUGAUUAGUAACACGAAAUGAAAGCUAUGGCAUAAAUGGAGACUAGCUAAAGGCGAGGUGACGAUACGUGUUGGAAGUGUUUCCAAGAUUGAUAUGAUCAAAACGUCGCGCGCUCCCUCUACCAUCGGGAUUGGUGUUAAACCGAAAUAAUUGUUAUUUGGUGCUUGCGUUAAGCAUGAACAUGAUUGGAUCUUGUUUAUUGCAAUACGAUUAUUCAUUUAAAGAUAAUAAUGGUUACUCUAUUUUCCUUGAAUAAUCACCUUCAAUGAUUUAUUGAGUCUCGAUCGUAGUGUUACACAUGUUCAUGAUAUUGGUGUCAAAAGAUACGAGGUAAUGAUGUUAGUACCACUUACUUGUGGCACUGCCGCUUGAGUCAUGUUAGUAUAAAUUGCAUGAAGAGGCUCCAUGCUAAUGGAUCUUUAUAUUCACUUGAUUUUGAAUCACUAGUGACAUGCUAAUCAUACCACAUGAGCAAGGCCUUGUUUUGAUUGAGAUGAAUCAAGAUAGUAACUUGUUGGAAGUGAUACAUUUUGAUGUAUGCAGUCCAAUGGGUGCUGAGGCACGCAGUGAAUAUCAUUAUGUUCUUACUUCAAUGACGAUUUAAGUAGAUACAAGAGUAUUUACUUAAUGAAUCACAAGUCUGAAAUAUUGAAAAGUUCAAUUCUGUUUCAGAGUGAAGUUCGUCGUAACAAGAGGAUAAACUGUCUACGAUAUGAUCAUAGAAAUGAAUAUCUGAGUUACGAGUUUUGGUACGCAGUUAANNNNNNNNNNNNNNNNNNNNNNNNNNNNNNNNNNNNNNNNNNNNNNNNNNNNNNNNNNNNNNNNNNNNNNNNNNNNNNNNNNNNNNNNNNNNNNNNNNNNCGACCACAUACCUCCACGGUUUUACCUCUAGAUCGCGUCUCUGCGGAGCUCGGGCGGAGCCCUGCCGAGAUUAGAUCAUCACCAACCUCCGGAGCGCCGUCACGCUGCCGGAGAACUCAUCUACCUCUCCGUCUCUCUUGCUGGAUCAAGAAGGCCGAGAUCAUCGUCGAGCUGUACGUGUGCUGAACGCGGAGGUGCCGUCCGUUCGGCACUAGAUCGUGGGACGGAUCGCGGGACGGUUUGUGGGACGGUUCGUGGGACGGUUCGAGUGGCGGAUCGAGGGACGUGAGGACGUUCCACUACAUCAACCGCGUUCACUAACGCUUCUGCUGUGCGAUCUACAAGGGUACGUAGAUCGGAAAUCCCCUCUCGUAGAUGGACAUCACCAUGAUAGGUCUUCGUGCGCGUAGGAAAUUUUUUGUUUCCCAUGCGACGUUCCCCAUCAGAAGGGCCUAUCUUGUACCUUUACUUUUUGCCCUUAUAAGAGUCAUGGUGAUCAUCACCAAUUCCCUUUUUGCCUUUUUCUUGGCUACCCGUCACAUGCUUGGGAAAGAUCUAUAUUCAUAUAUCAACUUGGAGUUGAGUACUUAUGCUUUAUUGUUGUUGACUUUACCUUUGAGGUAAAUGGUUGGGAGGCAAAACUAUAAGCCCCUAUCUUCCUCUGUGUCCAGUUAAAACUUUGACACCAUGAGUACCACGUGAGUUGUAACAAUUGUGGAAAACAAAAGAGAUGAUUGAGUAUGUGGGUUUGCCUUACAAGCUCUUAUUUGACUCUUUCUGAUGUUGUGAUAAAUUGCAAUUGCUUCAAUGGCUAUGGUUUAUUGUUGGUUACUUCUCGGUAAGGUUUUUUGCUUCAUGGUUUGCUUUGUGAAGGAAUUGUUACUUUCCCAUAAGAAUCUUUAUGAUGUAUUGUUGUUCUAUGUGUGAUCAUGAUGCCCUCAUGUCCGUAUUAUGUUUUAUCGACACCUUCGUCCCUCAACAUGUGGACAUGUUUAUGGAACUUGGUUUUCGCUUGAGGACAAGCGAGGUAUAAGCUCGGGGGAGUUGAUACGCCCAUUUUGCAUCAUGCUUUCAUGUUGAUAUUUAUUGCUUUUUGGGCUGUUAUAUUACUUGUGGUACCAUAUUUAUGCUUUUUCUCUCUUAUUUUGCAAGUUUUAUUUGAAGAGGGAGAAUUCACGCAGCUGGAAUUCUGGACUGGAAAAGGAGCAAAUCCUAGUCCACUAUUCUGCACAUCUACAAAUGCCCUGAAAAGUUACGUGGAUUUUUUUGGGAUUAUAUAAAAAAUACUGGGCGAAAGAACUACCGGAGGGGGGCUGCCAAGGCGCCACAAGCCCUAAUACCGCCACCCCCUGGUGGCGGAGUGGGGGCUUGUGGGCUCCCUGACAGCCCACUAGCCCCCUCUUUUGCUAUAUGAAUCAUCCUGGUCCAGAAAAAAAAAUCAGAGGGGAGCUUUUUCGUGGUUUCGCCGCCACCACGAGGCGGAACUUUAGCAGAUCCAAUCUAAAGCUCCGGCAGGACGAUCCUGCCGGGGAAACUUCCCUCCCGGAGGGGGAAAUCGUCGCCAUCGUCAUCACCAACACUCCUCUCGUCGGAUGGGAGGCAUGUUCAUCAACAUCUUCAUCAGCACCAUCUCCUCUCCAAUCCCUAGUUCAUCUCUUGUAACCAAUCUUCGUCUUGCAACUCCGAUUGGUACUUGUAAGGUUGCUAGUAGUGUUGACUACUCUUUGUAGUUGAUGCUAGUUGGAUUACUUGGUGAAAGAGUUUAUGUUCAGAUCCUUGAUGCUAUUCAUUACACCUCUGAUCAUGAUUAUGAUUAUGUUUUGUGAGUAGUUACUUUUGUUCCUGAGGACAUGGGAUAAGUCAUGUUAAUAAUAGUCAUGUGAAUUUGAUAUCCGUUCGGUAUUUUGAUAUGUUGUAUGUUGUUUUUCCUCUAGUGUGUUAUGUGAACAUCGACUACAUAACACUUCACCAUAUUUGGGCCUAGAGGAAGGCAUUGGGGAGUAGUAAGUAGAUGAUGGGUUGCUGGAGUGACAGAAGCUAAAACCCCAGUCUAUGCGUUGCUUCGUGAGGGGAUGAUUUGGAUCCACUAGUUUAAUGCUAUGGUUAGACUUUGUCUUAAUUNNNNNNNNNNCGAGAGAGGUUAAUCAUAACUGGGAUGCUUGUCCAAGUAAGGGCAACACCCAAGCGCCGGUCCACCCACAUAUCAAACUAUCAAAGUAACGAACGCGAAUCAUAUGAACAUGAUGAAACUAGCAUGACAGAAAUUCCCGUGUGUCCUCGGGAGCGUUUUUCCUCCUAUAAGACUUUGUUCAGGCUUGUCCCUUGCUACAAAAGGGAUUGGGCCACUUGCUGCACCGUCGCUACUACUUGUUUCUUGUUACUUUUUGCUUGCUACGUUUCACCUGCUAGACAAUCACUUGUUACCGCUACUUUCAGUGCUUGCAGUUAUUACCUUGCUGAAAUCCGUUUAUCAGAGCCUUCUGCUCCUUGUUGGGUUCGACAGUAUUACUUAUCGAAAGGACUACGAUUGAUCCCCUAUACUUGUGGAUCGUCAACCAGCGCCGGCGUCGUUCUACUGCUCCAACUCGACGACAACUCAAAUGAAACACUAUCAUGUUUCAAGUAUGAACAUCCUCAUCGGUGUCUAUUACUGUAAUAUAGUAAGAUGCAAUAUUUUACAUUAAAAGUGAGUCAACCAUGUGACUUUGGUCCACGGACUAGUAAAGAUCCAUUUUUGGUUCAUACCCUAUACGAUUCACCGGCCUAUUGCCUCAUUUGAAACUAGUGUGCUUAACUAUUCCUACUAGGUGAACCACAUUGCCUCAUUUGAAACUAGUGUGCUUAACUAUUCCUACUAGGUGAACCAAUUGACUCACCGGCCCAUUGCCUCUUUUGACCCUCUCAUAUAGCUUCCAAUAUAUUAAACAUAUAACGCUGACCUGUCAUAUUGUGUCUUUGUCACGCCACGACUCCUUAAUCGCUCUAUGCACCUGGACCGAUCGAGAGAGCAGUACCGAUCAAUUUCGUGUCCUGCGACCAAACGACGCUGAGCGUGGAGCAACCUGUGCUACGACACCUCGAGAAACGCGAGGAAAUAGACUAAUUUGUAAUUACUAAGUUGGCUGCAGUGUGACUAUAAGUACUAGGCAGUUUAUCCACUUUUGACAGAACAGUCCCUAAUGUAUUAUCCAGGGACCCGUUCUCGAGGGACGGUUAGUAACAGGGGCCAAAGUGGAAGAACAGAAUAGCCCCUAAGGUAUUAUCCAGGGACCCGUUUGCGAGGGACGGUUAGUAACAGGGACCAAAGUGGAAGAACAGAAUAGCCCCGAAGGUAUUAUUCAGGGACCCGUUUGCGAGGGACGGUUAGCACCGGGGGGGUAAAGUGGAAGAAGGGCGUAUGCGUGGCAUGGCACACCACAUCUCCACGAACGAUCAUCGGUUGGAGAGAAGAAGAAAAAAAAAAGGAUCAUCGGUCGCUGACAGACACCACCACACCGCGCGGGGGGAGAAGAGAAAACAACGGUCGCUCGAUCUCGCCGGAAUCGAUCCCCGCCGGCGACGGCGACGCCCCUCCUCGCCGGAUCCAGCUCCGCCGCCCCAGAUCCGGCGCCCCCCUCCCUCCUCCGUAGAGGCCCGCGGCAGCUCGUCUCGGUGCCGCGCCGCGCCGUCGGAGAAGCCUCCUCCGGCGUCCCGCGGCACCGCCGACUCGGGGGGAGCCUCCCCACGGGGACCAGCUCCGGCGUCGUUCUACUGCUCCAACUCGACGACGCCAUCGCCUAGGG
Molecule: long non-coding RNA, 27437 nt
Filed under: Hordeum vulgare
Lineage: Eukaryota; Viridiplantae; Streptophyta; Magnoliopsida; Poales; Poaceae
Description: long non-coding RNA (HVUL_LNC011351)
Source: RNAcentral